GGUUAAGCGACUAAGCGUACACGGUGGAUGCCCUGGCAGUCAGAGGCGAUGAAGGACGUGCUAAUCUGCGAUAAGCGUCGGUAAGGUGAUAUGAACCGUUAUAACCGGCGAUUUCCGAAUGGGGAAACCCAGUGUGAUUCGUCACACUAUCAUUAACUGAAUCCAUAGGUUAAUGAGGCGAACCGGGGGAACUGAAACAUCUAAGUACCCCGAGGAAAAGAAAUCAACCGAGAUUCCCCCAGUAGCGGCGAGCGAACGGGGAGGAGCCCAGAGCCUGAAUCAGUGUGUGUGUUAGUGGAAGCGUCUGGAAAGGCGCGCGAUACAGGGUGACAGCCCCGUACACAAAAAUGCACAUGCUGUGAGCUCGAUGAGUAGGGCGGGACACGUGGUAUCCUGUCUGAAUAUGGGGGGACCAUCCUCCAAGGCUAAAUACUCCUGACUGACCGAUAGUGAACCAGUACCGUGAGGGAAAGGCGAAAAGAACCCCGGCGAGGGGAGUGAAAAAGAACCUGAAACCGUGUACGUACAAGCAGUGGGAGCACGCUUAGGCGUGUGACUGCGUACCUUUUGUAUAAUGGGUCAGCGACUUAUAUUCUGUAGCAAGGUUAACCGAAUAGGGGAGCCGAAGGGAAACCGAGUCUUAACUGGGCGUUAAGUUGCAGGGUAUAGACCCGAAACCCGGUGAUCUAGCCAUGGGCAGGUUGAAGGUUGGGUAACACUAACUGGAGGACCGAACCGACUAAUGUUGAAAAAUUAGCGGAUGACUUGUGGCUGGGGGUGAAAGGCCAAUCAAACCGGGAGAUAGCUGGUUCUCCCCGAAAGCUAUUUAGGUAGCGCCUCGUGAAUUCAUCUCCGGGGGUAGAGCACUGUUUCGGCAAGGGGGUCAUCCCGACUUACCAACCCGAUGCAAACUGCGAAUACCGGAGAAUGUUAUCACGGGAGACACACGGCGGGUGCUAACGUCCGUCGUGAAGAGGGAAACAACCCAGACCGCCAGCUAAGGUCCCAAAGUCAUGGUUAAGUGGGAAACGAUGUGGGAAGGCCCAGACAGCCAGGAUGUUGGCUUAGAAGCAGCCAUCAUUUAAAGAAAGCGUAAUAGCUCACUGGUCGAGUCGGCCUGCGCGGAAGAUGUAACGGGGCUAAACCAUGCACCGAAGCUGCGGCAGCGACACUGUGUGUUGUUGGGUAGGGGAGCGUUCUGUAAGCCUGCGAAGGUGUGCUGUGAGGCAUGCUGGAGGUAUCAGAAGUGCGAAUGCUGACAUAAGUAACGAUAAAGCGGGUGAAAAGCCCGCUCGCCGGAAGACCAAGGGUUCCUGUCCAACGUUAAUCGGGGCAGGGUGAGUCGACCCCUAAGGCGAGGCCGAAAGGCGUAGUCGAUGGGAAACAGGUUAAUAUUCCUGUACUUGGUGUUACUGCGAAGGGGGGACGGAGAAGGCUAUGUUGGCCGGGCGACGGUUGUCCCGGUUUAAGCGUGUAGGCUGGUUUUCCAGGCAAAUCCGGAAAAUCAAGGCUGAGGCGUGAUGACGAGGCACUACGGUGCUGAAGCAACAAAUGCCCUGCUUCCAGGAAAAGCCUCUAAGCAUCAGGUAACAUCAAAUCGUACCCCAAACCGACACAGGUGGUCAGGUAGAGAAUACCAAGGCGCUUGAGAGAACUCGGGUGAAGGAACUAGGCAAAAUGGUGCCGUAACUUCGGGAGAAGGCACGCUGAUAUGUAGGUGAAGUCCCUCGCGGAUGGAGCUGAAAUCAGUCGAAGAUACCAGCUGGCUGCAACUGUUUAUUAAAAACACAGCACUGUGCAAACACGAAAGUGGACGUAUACGGUGUGACGCCUGCCCGGUGCCGGAAGGUUAAUUGAUGGGGUCAGCGCAAGCGAAGCUCUUGAUCGAAGCCCCGGUAAACGGCGGCCGUAACUAUAACGGUCCUAAGGUAGCGAAAUUCCUUGUCGGGUAAGUUCCGACCUGCACGAAUGGCGUAAUGAUGGCCAGGCUGUCUCCACCCGAGACUCAGUGAAAUUGAACUCGCUGUGAAGAUGCAGUGUACCCGCGGCAAGACGGAAAGACCCCGUGAACCUUUACUAUAGCUUGACACUGAACAUUGAGCCUUGAUGUGUAGGAUAGGUGGGAGGCUUAGAAGUGUGGACGCCAGUCUGCAUGGAGCCGACCUUGAAAUACCACCCUUUAAUGUUUGAUGUUCUAACGUUGACCCGUAAUCCGGGUUGCGGACAGUGUCUGGUGGGUAGUUUGACUGGGGCGGUCUCCUCCUAAAGAGUAACGGAGGAGCACGAAGGUUGGCUAAUCCUGGUCGGACAUCAGGAGGUUAGUGCAAUGGCAUAAGCCAGCUUGACUGCGAGCGUGACGGCGCGAGCAGGUGCGAAAGCAGGUCAUAGUGAUCCGGUGGUUCUGAAUGGAAGGGCCAUCGCUCAACGGAUAAAAGGUACUCCGGGGAUAACAGGCUGAUACCGCCCAAGAGUUCAUAUCGACGGCGGUGUUUGGCACCUCGAUGUCGGCUCAUCACAUCCUGGGGCUGAAGUAGGUCCCAAGGGUAUGGCUGUUCGCCAUUUAAAGUGGUACGCGAGCUGGGUUUAGAACGUCGUGAGACAGUUCGGUCCCUAUCUGCCGUGGGCGCUGGAGAACUGAGGGGGGCUGCUCCUAGUACGAGAGGACCGGAGUGGACGCAUCACUGGUGUUCGGGUUGUCAUGCCAAUGGCACUGCCCGGUAGCUAAAUGCGGAAGAGAUAAGUGCUGAAAGCAUCUAAGCACGAAACUUGCCCCGAGAUGAGUUCUCCCUGACUCCUUGAGAGUCCUGAAGGAACGUUGAAGACGACGACGUUGAUAGGCCGGGUGUGUAAGCGCAGCGAUGCGUUGAGCUAACCGGUACUAAUGAACCGUGAGGCUUAACCUU
This 2903-nucleotide ribosomal RNA is filed under the name Escherichia coli. Its description in RNAcentral is "23S ribosomal RNA". It matches the Rfam family "Bacterial large subunit ribosomal RNA". Lineage: Bacteria; Pseudomonadati; Pseudomonadota; Gammaproteobacteria; Enterobacterales; Enterobacteriaceae. The record is from RNAcentral.